RNAcentral lists this non-coding RNA (1050 nucleotides) under Perkinsus marinus ATCC 50983. RNAcentral describes it as "Eukaryotic large subunit ribosomal RNA". It matches the Rfam family "Eukaryotic large subunit ribosomal RNA", at positions 1062 to 2121 of the family's 3401-position model. The record is from Rfam by way of RNAcentral. Lineage: Eukaryota; Perkinsozoa; Perkinsida; Perkinsidae.
ACUUUAAAUGGGCAAGAUCCAGUAGUUACUUAAUUGAACUAUUGGGGUCAAUGAGACGACUCUAAGUGGGCCAUUUUUGGUAAGCAGAACUGGCGAUGAGGGAUGAACCUAACGCUCGGUUAAGGUGCUAAACUGCUCGCUCAUCAGAUACCACAAAGGGUGUUGGUCGAUCUUAACAGCAGGACGGUGGUCAUGGAAGUCGAAAUCCGCUAAGGAGUGUGUAACAACUCACCUGCCGAAUCGACUAGCCCCGAAAAUGGAUAGCGCUGAAGCGAGUGACCGAUACCGGGCCAUUGUUGCAAGAUAAUUGGCAACAAUGAGUAGGAGGGCGUGGGGGUUGUGAAGAAGCUUGGACGUGAGUCUGAGUGAAACAGCUUCCAGUGCAGAUCUUGGUGGUAGUAGCAAGUAUUCAAUAAGAGAACAUUGAAGGCCGAAGUGGGGAAGGGUUCCAUGUGAACAGCACUUGGACAUGGGUUAGCCGAUCCUGAGAGACAGGUUAAAUUCCAUCGGAUUGGAGCUUUGGCUCUGUUUCUCGAAAGGGAAGCUGGUUAGUAUUCCAGCGCCGAGACGUGGAUAAUAUGUGGCAACACAAGUGAACUCGGACACGCCAUAGGGGACCCCAGGAAGCGUUGUCUUUUCUUUUUAACAGUUCGACUUACCCUGGAAUCAGAUCAUCUGGAGAUAGGGUUUUCGAACUGGAAUAGCACCUUGUCUAACAGGGUGUCUGGAGUGUUCUCGCUGGCCCUUGAAAAUCCGAGGGAUAGAUUUAUUCGCACUCUCGAUCGUACCCAUAACCGCAUCAGGUCUCCAAGGUUAGAAGCCUCUGGUCCGUAGGACAAAGUAGAUAAGGGAAGUCGGCAAAAUAGGUCCGUAACUUCGGGAAAAGGACUGGCUCUGAGGUUUGGUAUGUGGAACCUGGAUUAAUCGUUGGAGUCGAGCAGAGACUACUUGUUGCUCACGUGACUUGUGGACUCCUUGCUUGAUACCUUCAAUUGAUCCAGGCUGCUUCGGCGCUCUGCAUGCACUUAACAAACAGCUCAGAACUGAGCG